GGAAGGAUCAUUACCGAGUGUAGGGUUCCUAGCGAGCCCAACCUCCCACCCGUGUUUACUGUACCUUAGUUGCUUCGGCGGGCCCGCCAUUCAUGGCCGCCGGGGGCUCUCAGCCCCGGGCCCGCGCCCGCCGGAGACACCACGAACUCUGUCUGAUCUAGUGAAGUCUGAGUUGAUUGUAUCGCAAUCAGUUAAAACUUUCAACAAUGGAUCUCUUGGUUCCGGCAUCGAUGAAGAACGCAGCGAAAUGCGAUAACUAGUGUGAAUUGCAGAAUUCCGUGAAUCAUCGAGUCUUUGAACGCACAUUGCGCCCCCUGGUAUUCCGGGGGGCAUGCCUGUCCGAGCGUCAUUGCUGCCCAUCAAGCACGGCUUGUGUGUUGGGUCGUCGUCCCCUCUCCGGGGGGGACGGGCCCCAAAGGCAGCGGCGGCACCGCGUCCGAUCCUCGAGCGUAUGGGGCUUUGUCACCCGCUCUGUAGGCCCGGCCGGCGCUUGCCGAACGCAAAUCAAUCUUUUUCCAGGUUGACCUCGGAUCAGGUAGGGAUACCCGCUGAACUUAAGCAUAUC
RNAcentral lists this ribosomal RNA (565 nucleotides) under fungal sp. IP57_(EL). RNAcentral's name for it is "eukaryotic LSU rRNA". The stretch from base 196 to 349 matches the Rfam family "5.8S ribosomal RNA". The record is from RNAcentral. Lineage: Eukaryota; Fungi.